CUACUUUACAUAUUUCAUUGAGAAAUUAACAACAGAAGAGGCUCUUCCUGGAGACUUGCAUUCCACUGCUCUGUGUAAGCCACUGCUCUUCUGGAGGAAGCAUUCGGCUGAGCUGUGAGUCCAGCAAGGCAAAUGUCUUUGAUGGCACUGCGGAUUUCUGCUACCUGAGCCUCCAGGUUAUGGAUCAGACUCUGGAUUUGGGCCAGCAGGGCUGUGUAUCGGGCCUCUGUCUCUGCUAGGAUGCAUUCCUGGGAAUCUCUCUGUGGAAGAGGAGGGAAACAGAUUCUAAGAUGACUCCUUUAAAAUUCCCAGAAGGCCAUUGUAAAAGACAUUUUAAACAAUAACUUCUCUGUGACAGUACUAAGAGUUCUCUAAGUCCUUUAUUACUUCCUAACCAAAUAAACCCAAAACAAAAAUG
This 418-nucleotide long non-coding RNA is filed under the name Rattus norvegicus (Norway rat). RNAcentral's name for it is "long non-coding RNA NONRATT004869". Lineage: Eukaryota; Metazoa; Chordata; Mammalia; Rodentia; Muridae. The record is from RNAcentral.